Molecule: ribosomal RNA, 468 nt
Filed under: uncultured bacterium
Lineage: Bacteria
Description: partial 16S ribosomal RNA
Rfam family: Bacterial small subunit ribosomal RNA
Source: RNAcentral
GACGAACGCUGGCGGCGUGCUUAACACAUGCAAGUCGAACGGAAAGGCCCUGCUUUUGUGGGGUGCUCGAGUGGCGAACGGGUGAGUAACACGUGAGUAACCUGCCCUUGACUUUGGGAUAACUUCAGGAAACUGGGGCUAAUACCGGAUAGAAGCUCCUGCUGCAUGGUGGGGGUUGGAAAGUUUCGGCGGUUGGGGAUGGACUCGCGGCUUAUCAGCUUGUUGGUGGGGUAGUGGCUUACCAAGGCUUUGACGGGUAGCCGGCCUGAGAGGGUGACCGGCCACAUUGGGACUGAGGUACGGCCCAGACUCCUACGGGAGGCAGCAGUGGGGAAUAUUGCACAAUGGGCGGAAGCCUGAUGCAGCAACGCCGCGUGCGGGAUGACGGCCUUCGGGUUGUAAACCGCUUUCGCCUGUGACGAAGCGUGAGUGACGGUAAUGGGUAAAGAAGCACCGGCUAACUACGUG